GACGAACGCUGGCGGCGUGCUUAACACAUGCAAGUCGAACGGAAACGCCCUACUUGUGUGCGGUGCCCGGGGGGCAAACGGGGGCGUAACACGUGAGCAACCUACCCUUCUCUUUCGGGUAACUUCAGGAAACGGGGCCUAAUAUCGUAUAGGAUCUCCUCUUCCAUGGAGAGGGUUGGAAAUUUUCAGCGGGCGGGGCUGGACUCGCGGCUUAUGGGCUUGCUGGUUGGGUAGUGGCUUACCGAGGCUGUGACGGGUAGCCGGCCUGAGAGGGUGAACGGCGACAAUGGGACUGAGAUACGGACCAGUGUCCUAUGGUAGGCAGCAGGGGGGAAUAUUGCACAAUGGGAGGAAGUCUGAUGCAGAGACGCCGCGUGCGUGAUGACGGCUUUCGGGUUGUGAACAGCUUUAGCCUGAGACGCAGCGGGAGUGACGGUAAUGGGUAAAGAAGCACCGGCUAACUACGUG
RNAcentral lists this ribosomal RNA (468 nucleotides) under uncultured bacterium. RNAcentral describes it as "partial 16S ribosomal RNA". It matches the Rfam family "Bacterial small subunit ribosomal RNA", at positions 28 to 507 of the family's 1533-position model. The record is from RNAcentral.